AUUUUUUUGAAUAUUUCUUUUGAAUUAACCAGGAGCAGCGGGGGCAGCGGGUAAUCUUGGUAAAGCUGGUAGCGGUGGUAUUCUUGGAAAACGAGGGAAAUCUGGUAACUCAGGAGGAGGAAUUUGUGGUAUUGCUGGUAAACGAGGUAGACUCGGUAAAGAAGGGAAAGACGGCAAAGCUGGUAUUUUGGGUAAGGCUGGCAGAGCUGGCAAUCUUAGGAACGGUGGUAACGUAAACGAACUGGCUGCUUGUUGGUAUUGUUGAGGCUGGUAGUAUCUGACUGGCCGGUACACUACUGGCCUUGGUCUUCGUCUUCUUGGUUGAUUUGACCGACCACAGCCACCACACCAUAAAGAUCCGCAGACUCGCUUAUUUCGAGUUAAACCUUUA
This 391-nucleotide long non-coding RNA is filed under the name Lupinus mutabilis. RNAcentral's name for it is "partial ncRNA". Lineage: Eukaryota; Viridiplantae; Streptophyta; Magnoliopsida; Fabales; Fabaceae. The record is from RNAcentral.